CCUACGGGGGGCAGCAGUCGGGAAACUUCUGCAAUGUACGUAAGUAUGACAGAGCAAGCCAGAGUGCGUUUCCGUAUUGGAAACGCUUUUAUGAGAUGUAAAAAGUCUUAUGAAUAAGGACUGGGAGAGACGGGUGCCAGCCGCCGCGGUAAUACCCGCGGUCCAAGUCGCAGCCACUUUUAUUGGGUCUAAAACAUCCGUAGCUCGUUUCGUAAGUCUUGCGUGAAAUCCGGCCUCUCAAGGGUCGGGCGUGCGCGAGAAACUGCGUUGCUAGAGACCGGGAGACGUGAAGAGUACGCAUUGGGUAGCGGUCAAAUGCAUUGAUCCAAUGCGGACUAACGAUAGCGAAGGCACUUCACGAGAACGGUUCUGACGGUGAGGGAUGAAGGCUAGGGGCGCAAAACGGAUUAGAUACCCCAGUAGUC
RNAcentral lists this ribosomal RNA (425 nucleotides) under uncultured bacterium. RNAcentral's name for it is "bacterial SSU rRNA". It matches the Rfam family "Archaeal small subunit ribosomal RNA", at positions 322 to 746 of the family's 1478-position model. The record is from RNAcentral.